GGAUGGACUCGCGGCCUAUCAGCUUYGUUGGUGGGGUAAUGGCCUACCAAGGCGACSACGGGUAGCCGGCCUGAGAGGGUGACCGGCCACMCUGGGACUGAKACACGGCCCAGACUCCUACGGGAGGCAGCAGUGGGGAAUAUUGCMCAAUGGGCGCAAGCCUGAUGCARCGACGCCGCGUGAGGGAUGAAGGCCUUUCGGGUUGUAAACCUCUUUC
This 217-nucleotide ribosomal RNA is filed under the name Arthrobacter sp. RNAcentral describes it as "partial 16S ribosomal RNA". Lineage: Bacteria; Bacillati; Actinomycetota; Actinomycetes; Micrococcales; Micrococcaceae. The record is from RNAcentral.